ACGGAAAAUUUUGCUAUGUAUAGCAACAUCCCUACAUGUUUGUGGAUCAAAUGCCCACAGAUAGUGGAAAGUUGGCAUUUUAUUUUACAUACUUACAAAACAUUCAAUUAAAUACUUUAAUAUGUUUGAAACUCAAACAUAUAAUAUUAUGUCUUAUAAUUCUUAAUUAUCCGGUUAAUAGUGGAAUGUUUCUUGAAAUGUGCAGACGAUAAGCUAUCGCUGAACAGACGUUUAGCACGCUGUUAUGUUAUAGGAAUUGGUGAUAGCCCCGUGUGUCCACAAUGUGAAGCAGCGGAGGAAACAUCAUACCACCUAUUAGGAGUCUGCCAUCACUGGUCGCCUACUAGGAGGCGUGCGCCUCCUUGGGACCUCCCCACUCUCCCGCAUCGAAUUGUCUUCCUCACAGAGGAAGACAAGGUCUUUCUUGGAGUGGAGACGGAUCCUUGCCUUUGUCAAGGAAAGAGAGGUACAGUGGGGAUGGAUGGAGGGGGAAUGGCGAAAACAGCCUUUAAGACCGACUCACCGGCCCCAUCGGGUCCCCCCACAAUACUACUACUUCUACUUGCAUGCAACUAACUGAUAAUAAACUAUUAUUUAAUAA
Molecule: long non-coding RNA, 601 nt
Organism: Dendroctonus ponderosae (mountain pine beetle)
Lineage: Eukaryota; Metazoa; Arthropoda; Insecta; Coleoptera; Curculionidae
Exons: 2
Source: RefSeq, a predicted model, not a curated record